AAUAAUCUGUUCACUCCGCGCAUCAUAUAGAGAGCUCCCUCUUUGAAGUCUCUUUCCAAAGCAGGAAUCAUCAAAGUUUUGGUACUGGCAUCCGGAAUGGACAUUUUUUGUUGGAAAUUUAUUCCCUAGCCAAUUGUGACACAUAUUUUAUUUUAAUGUACAGUACUACAGUCCAAUCUAAAUUUGCAUACAUGACAUCCCGAUUUUAGUCUUACCAACCUUGACCGAUUGUAAAACAAACUGCAGAAAAGGUUGAAACUAAAUAGACGGGGUUUUGAACAAAUUCACGAAUUAAAUUUACAAGUUACGCGUUUACUUUGUCCUUGUACACUCCUCACUGUGCACGGUAUUCGAGAAACUUCUACAAGCGAGUGUGAGUGGGCAGUGGAAAAUGUGAAACGUACUGUGACAAGUUAUCGUCGCAUAUAAAAUAAUCGAGAUUAGUUACGCCGAUUAUUUUUAAUUACCCUUUAUUCUUUACACAAACUCGCAUUUUUCGUGACUUACCACCUACGAAAUUCGGGCCACAUGAUAGGGAAGCAUUUCAUAUCUACGAAACCGUGUUUUUUACAUCUCAUAGUAAUAAGUCGCGAGUGAUAUAAGUAAUAUAACCUUCGAUUUUUUUCUUUCCGUCCCUUUUUCAUGCCACAAUUCAUUUUUUUAAAUCCUCUUUUUUGAAGUUGUUGUUUUUUGUAAAGUAAAGAUGGCGCCAGCACCGCAUUGAAUUUUCAUAUUUCAAAGUCUGUUGCAGUGUUGUUGUUUUCCAGUCCUGACCCUGAGUGGCCAGCCAGCGGUUCAUCGCGGUUCCGGUUCAUCGCGGUUCCAGCCCAGCGGUUCAUUGAAUCAUCGUACCUUGUAAAAACAUUGGACUUGAACGCUGGACUCGUGCCCGAAUUUCUCCUCAACUUAUUUCGGGCGAUAUUCCACUGAUCCUUUGGACACGAAAUUUCGUUUAGAACGUGUGAUGGAGUAGAGGCCUCUACAAGUCGGGUGGGGCAGCAGCGACAGUUGUAAAACGGGAAGUUGCCAGAUGGUGAGUUGCUCAUAGUGGCUCAUAGCAGCAAGGCCAUGGAAAUAAAUCCUGGGACACGCUCGUCACGCUUGGCAACACGCUAAUGCCCGGCUUCACUUUUACAGCCUACUAACCAAUACGAAAUGGACACGAGUGGAACCAAUUGACGGCGGCGGGAAAUCUGUUUUCUUUCAAAUUCUCGAUAGUUUGGUUCGACAACUGACGGCUAUCAAAGCUGCCUACGACAUCGAGCAAGUUCAAGUGCAUCACUCGCAUGAAAGAGAAUAAUUAACUACCAACAUUACCUGUUAUCUAAAGAGACAUGCGGGCUCACGAUAGUCAAAUGCCUUAGAAUUGUUUUAAAAAAAUGCCCAAAAUAUUAUUUUACUUCUAGAUUUACAUGUGCGGGAAUUGGUAAGCGGUGAUGGGUUUUAUCUUGAGUAUAAGGUCGGAUGUUUGGG
Daphnia pulicaria is the source of this 1473-nucleotide long non-coding RNA. RefSeq lists it as uncharacterized. NCBI's taxonomy places the organism in Eukaryota, Metazoa, Arthropoda, Branchiopoda, Diplostraca, Daphniidae. The transcript is spliced from 3 exons. The record is from RefSeq and is a predicted model, not a curated record.